CCAAUGGCACUGCCCGGUAGCUAAAUGCGGAAGAGAUAAGUGCUGAAAGCAUCUAAGCACGAAACUUGCCCCGAGAUGAGUUCUCCCUGAGACUAUAAGUCUCCUGAAGGAACGUUAAAGACGAUGACGUUGAUAGGCCGGGUGUGUAAGCGCAGCGAUGCGUUGAGCUAACCGGUACUAAUGAACCGUGAGGCUUAACCUUAC
RNAcentral lists this ribosomal RNA (204 nucleotides) under Klebsiella pneumoniae subsp. pneumoniae KPNIH20. Its description in RNAcentral is "partial 23S ribosomal RNA". It matches the Rfam family "Bacterial large subunit ribosomal RNA", at positions 2729 to 2925 of the family's 2925-position model. Lineage: Bacteria; Pseudomonadati; Pseudomonadota; Gammaproteobacteria; Enterobacterales; Enterobacteriaceae. The record is from RNAcentral.